AAAAUAAUAAUCCCACAAAAAAUGCAACUCAUUUGUAAUCUAUCGAGUGGUCUUCUCAACGAGCACUGAUUAUAUCACCUGUCAUUAUUGGGAUUUGCUUUUGUAUGGCCCUUAUUUUCAUUUCUCUAUCAGAUAAUACAUUUUCAAAACAUUAUUUUUUUUUUCGUUCGGACAGAUUGAUGUGAUUGUAUUACUCGUCACGCUACAAAUUGCUGUUCCCUCGCUGUUGUAAAUAUAAAAAGCGCAGCAUUUUUUUAUUUUAUUAAUUCCCUCCUCUGCCCACUCACAAUAAAAAAUUGUGCAUUAUUUUGUGCAAUGGCCCAUUAUUUGUUUUGUAAAAAUUAUCACUUAAGGUUGAGAAAGGUGUUCUAAAUCGCUGGGGAUUUAAUGUGUAAACAAAUAAAAUGGGGUUGUAUUGUUUUUUUUUUUUAUUUCACUAUCAAAUGAUAAGACACUUGAUUCGUAAGACGCAAUUUGGAAAGACAAGUUAGUUAACCCAUUGAAUUCCAUCCUGAGACUUUGUUGUUGCAGGUAUAUAAACGGGGUGAGAUGAAAAACUACAAUCAACUUCAGAAUACUGCCAUUUCUAAGUCAGCUGUUCGGCAGCUGUUAAAAUUAUUCCAGUGACAGGUCAUUAUUUUGUUUACAAGCGUACAAAGGCUAUUUGGUGAGAAUUUUCCAGAAGAAAAUGUUAUUCGUGAUGGAAUUCAAGCGUGAUAGUGUGAUUUCUUUAUAUUUGGCUGGAAAACCCCAAGUGGCCAUUGUUAGAGCACUCCAGCAUUUGAAUGUGAAUAAAUCUUUUGUGUCUCGUACCAUCGCUCGUUACCGUGUUACCGGUAGCGUAGUCCGACGUCAAGGAAGUGGAAGGAAGAAAACAGCAACAUUGGCAGAAAUGGUUCGAAAAGUAAAGAAGCUAUUUGAUCGAAACCCGCUGCAGUGACCGAAAAAUAGCUCGUGAGCUGGAAAUGUCGCAAUAUUCCAUUAGGCAAAUAUUGAAAAAUGAGCUCGGGAUAAAGCCAUUGAAAUUCCAAAAAAGUGCAAGAACUUACACCGCAACAGAAAGAAAAUAGACUCAAAAGAGCUAAAAGAGUUGCUUCGCUUGGCCAAAAGUGGUGAACUGCCGAAUUUGGUUUUCUCCGAUGAGAAAACAUUCGUUGUCCAGCAGUUUGUAAACAAAUAAAAUGAUCGUGUUUACUUGCCAAAAAGGUCAGCUGAAAAUGUGCACAUUCGGUGCACACGGUGAAGGUGUGGGUCACCAUAACAGCCGAUGGUCGCUCUCCGCUCGUACUAAUCGACCGUGGCAUCAGAAUAAAUGCCGAAUUUUAUCGGGAAAAUAUUCUGGAGGGUGUAUUAAAGCCAUUUUGGCCGCAGAACUUGGACAUUCUAACAGGACUCAGAACGCGCCACCCAAAAAUGGUUACAAAAUAAGGUUCUUCGCUUCAUUUCCAGCGCACAAUGGCCACCAAAAUCUCCGGUUACUAAUCCGUUGGACUAUUGUGUCUGGAGUAUUUUGGAAAGCAAGGUUGCCACUAAAAAUACCAAAAUGUCGAUCGCCUCAAGCAAGCGCUUCGCCGGGAAUGGGCCGAAAUACCGCAGAGCAACAUUCGGGCAGCGUGUGACGGUUUCAUUGGCCGUUUGAAGGCCAUAAUUCGUGCCAAAGGUGACCAAUUCGAACAAAUCUAAACUUAUUCUAAAAUUUGAUGCUAUUUCCGACUUUUUUGCUUUCAUUCCAUAAAAUUUAAAAAAUGUAAAAAUUAUGGCGUUUGACUUUGUUGUAUUUUUUUAUCUCACCCUGUAUUUGUUCUGCUAGUUAUCUCAGGCUUCGAUUCUUAUUUGGCUGAAUAUACUUAAUUUCCUUCUUUAAACGAAAGUGUACUGUUGGGUUCCAUGAAGGGCCAAUGAUCAACUGAUCCGUUUUUGAAAAACUAAAAAUACAAAAUACUUAUCUGAUCCCAUUAAAAACAAAAAAAUGACUUUGACUCCAUGGAUCGCUUAGGUUAGGUUAAAGCACUCCUAAGGCAACUACGAAUCCUGACCUAACCGCUCCACUCGGAGACCUGCUGAUACGUUGUUUUUAUCCCAUCCAUGAUUAUGUGGUCGCAUUUGUUCUGAUUGUCUAAUUCAGGUUGGUGGGUUAAUAGGAAUGUAUUUUCAAGUUCAAAAUAAAGACUAUUGUUAAGAGUUGCAUUUUUCCAAGGCGCUUUUGAUAAGAGCGUGAUCUAUCCACAGCUAUAUGUGUUCGCAAUCAGUUGUAAUAAUUCCAUAAAGCCACUAAUUCCCUAUCUACUUGAAUUUUGAAAAAAAAUAACAAUGAAAACAAUGUCAGUGGAAAUUGUGGAAAAUUUCCUCAAGAAAUUGUGUGUUUUCGAAUAUUUUAUAUUCUUAUCUAAAAUGUCAUAAUUGUCGUUUUUUUUGGAUCGAUUUCGUUUUUCGAAUUGAAGUUGGCUGAUAUAUUCAAAGCAACAUAAUAGCAAAUCAACGAAGAUCGCUAGUUUGGAAAUCUCACAUAGUCUUAUUAUAAGAUCCUGCUAUUCUGUCCAAAAUAAUUUCAACGUCUCCAUAUGUAAACCCUCGAAACCAACGCCUUAGCACCAAGAUUGGCCCUCGUGCAAAAUUUCAAGAUUCUAGCUUCAGCCGUUUCAUUUGGGAGUUGAUUCUCAGUCCGUCAGUUAUUUCACUACUUGUUCAUAUAUAUAGAAGAUUUCGUAUACAUCGGGAUCCAAUACUUGAUGACUCAGUGAAAAUUCGUUUAUUUUUUCUUUUUCAUAAAAAAAUGUGACGCUCUGUGAUGCUGUGACGAAGGCAAAAAUCUAAACAUAUCGUCGUGGUUAUAAAUCUGUCAAAUGUGCUACAUUUGUUUACUCUGAAAUGUAGACAACUUUUAAGAUCGUCAUUCAUAUCCGUACAUCUGCUGGGACAUACAUUUUAUCGUCAUUGGCUUUUGCAGAUUUUGCCAUUUCUUUUUUAAGUUAUUAUGAUAAGAAACCAUCUGGCUGGGGGCUAUAUACAGUGUAUGGUGCUGCUCAAGAAGUCAAUGAAGGCCAUGAUAUGAUAUGUGAUUGGAAUUUGGUCUGCUACAAAGAAUAAUAAAUUUUGCAAGGUUUAGGUGGCUCUAAACUCGCAUA
Musca domestica (house fly) is the source of this 3125-nucleotide long non-coding RNA. RefSeq lists it as uncharacterized. NCBI's taxonomy places the organism in Eukaryota, Metazoa, Arthropoda, Insecta, Diptera, Muscidae. The transcript is spliced from 2 exons. The record is from RefSeq and is a predicted model, not a curated record.